RNAcentral lists this unclassified non-coding RNA (457 nucleotides) under Hevea brasiliensis (rubber tree). Lineage: Eukaryota; Viridiplantae; Streptophyta; Magnoliopsida; Malpighiales; Euphorbiaceae. The record is from RNAcentral.
CGUUUCCGUAGUUCGUUGCAACCAUAGGGGCAGUCCUAGCUGCUUACUGAAUCACAUGCAUCAGCGUUCGGCGACGGGCAGCAGCGACUAGUCCUCGAGUCCUCGACUCACCUGUCUCCCUUGGCCUCUUCCUUUUGUGCUUCUCCGUUCAACUCUCUCUUCUAUGCUACCUUCAACAAUUAUUUAACCCAACUGCUUCGUCCAUUAACAAACCCACCACUAGAUUUUUUUGAGUGACAAAGCCAGAGAUGUGGAGGUUCGUUGCGCGUGGCCUUCGCCUUCCUCCUUUUUCUAAGAAAUCCAUCUCUAAUGACUCUCUUAGAACUCACAUUUCCAGAUUUGUCUCUACUGAAUCGACUGGGGGGCGAUCCUCAUACACCAUUGUUGAUCAUACAUAUGAUGCAGUGGUCGUAGGAGCAGGUGGUGCCGGGUUGAGAGCUGCCAUAGGACUCUCAGA